Long non-coding RNA from Perognathus longimembris pacificus (Pacific pocket mouse), 1985 nucleotides. RefSeq lists it as uncharacterized. The record is from RefSeq and is a predicted model, not a curated record. The transcript has 3 exons. Lineage: Eukaryota; Metazoa; Chordata; Mammalia; Rodentia; Heteromyidae.
GUGCAGGCUUGUUGAGGAUCGACCGGGAUUUCAGGCUGACUUGCCGGGGACAGGGUUCCGAGAGGCAGAGGUGGAGAGCCAGCCUGGGCCCCUCUUGAAAGACUUCUCUGAGGAGUUUGGUUUUUAUUUGAGUGGCCGAGGAAGCCUUUAAAGGGUUUUAAGGAGGAGGUGAGGUGCGUGUGUGCUUGAUCAGAAAGAACAUUGAUGAAGACACUGUGUGUGUGUGUUGUUGUUUUGAUCUCAUUACUCUUCCCAUUUCUUUUUUACUUUACAACCUUCCAUUUAUACUGAUUCAGGAAUUAGCAAUGGAAUAGUGCCUUUUUUCAUUGUUAAGACAAAAUAACUGAGACAGGGUAGCUUAAUAAAGAAAAGUUUUAUUUUGUUCAGGGUUUGGAGGUUCCCGGGGGCCCACUUGUGAGGACGGCCUUCUCAUUAGCAGAUUCCGAUGGUGGCUCUGUCUCACAUGGUCUGUCUUACUUUGUAGCUAGGUCCUGGAACUGAUUCUCCUACCUUAGCACCCUGAGUUCUGGGAUUCUACAGGUAUGUGCCCCUCCCACACCCCCUCCCCCAGUGGUGCUUUGUUACUUCAGCUUCUGCCAUGCUUCUAUGAAAUUUUUAUGUCUUUUAGAAAUUAUUUAGCAGCUUGGUUAGCCUCUGUGUGUCCCUGUGGCUACACUGUGUGCAAUGAAUACCAACCCUAUAUUCUGCACCUGAUUGAUGUGAGGAUUAGUUAAGGAGAUGUUUAUGGACAGCUUGGCUGAGCAUGGCCUGGCCCACAGCUUCUCCAGUGUUGUAGCCUGAAGCAAACUGAGUUCCUUGUCCUUAGGGUUCUAUCUUCCUGGUUUCUGUUGCUUGCAGAAUUAUUCUGCCUGGAAGGCAAGUGUUACAGAGUAGGCAUUGUUGAAGAAGGUGAAGAAGGUGAUGUUGUCUUAUGAAUGAGCCCCUUGCUUACUGUUAGUUUUGUUCAACCAUGGAAUCUUGAUUCAAAGGGUGAUGUCAGUAAACUGAUCCUUCCCAAGAACAGCCCUCAUUUCCUGACUCCCACUUAGAUUUCUGGAAUAAAGGCACAGCCAAACAAUGGCCCUGCUUUCAGUCCCUGAAGGCUGAGUAGUGCUACUGAGUACAUUCCCAGAGAGCAGCUCUCUAUGGGGUGGGCCUUUGUUCCUUAUUUGUGCUGGAGAAAUACAGGGUUUUCUUCUAGUUUCCUGACAUUUCCUGACUUGGUUACCUUGAGUCUUUAUCAUCCUCACCACAUCAUCCUCGAGGCAGAGGAAGGUGAAAGGAAGUCAGAAUUUGAAGGUAGUGUCUUUACCAUCUGACUUUUCUGAGAAAUAAAAAGCCUUAAGUCAUAAACUACCCCCCACCAUCCCUCUACUCAUACCUAGAAAGAGCUGCUUUCCAUGGAGUCCAGUCCUAACUUCCUGUCCCCAGAGGAGUGACAUUGACACAGAUCACCUGCCCCCUGGAGACAGGGAGUUGAAGCCAGACUUGCUUUAGGCCACCCAAUGUUUCGGUAGGAAAGUACUGUAGAUAAGGUCCCCUCUGACCUGGUGGCCUGAAGUUUCCUUCACCAGGCUGGGUAGAGUGACCAUUUUAAGAAAUAGCUUAUGUGGUAUGCGUGCCGACCUCGUUAAGGGAUAAGUCCCUGUUUCUAAUUCUAGCCCUUUCGGUUUGAGCUUACAACUUUGGGCAUGUCAAUUGUUUCAUUUUCGUGUCCAGUAAGGAGAUUAAUAUUGCAGCCCCUGGGCUUCACUCAUCUGGGGUGUUGGGAGAAUCAGUGAGAUUAUGUACAACACUGAGAGCUAGCACCUGUUUUGUACUCAGUGUGUGCUGACUACUUUUAGUUCCCUGACAGGUGUCAUUCUCACAAUUCUAAAGUGAGGACACCAGUAGCCCCACUUCACAGUUAAGAACACGAAGUCCAGGGAAGUCACGUUGAAGCCAGCCCCAGUUCUCUGGCUCCAGAGCACACUCAAUCUCAUUCU